GUCCUCAGGCGAAGCUAUUUUUGGAAUUGGGAUGACAUUGGCUUUUUUCCACAUGGUCGGAACAGUCGCUUGUUGGAUGGAAGCAUUAAAAAUUGAUGCAACAGGGGAAGCAAGUACAUAAGCGUAGAACUUGGAAACCCAGUUUGGUAUUCCAUCUGGACCAGGAGAUUUUAGCAGUUGAUAUAAUGGAUAAUUUAUGGUAUACCUCUUCUUCUUUAAUGAUAAACUCUGGUGAAAUGUCAUAAUGGCUGUUUUCUGGUAAAAUGUCGAUAUGAAGACGAUUUAAAGGAGGGAUUUCUUUUGUAACUGAAACAAAAGCGUCAUUAAUAUUUUCGGCCAGGGCUUUUCCUGACAUCACCUGAUUUCCCACGACAAGGGUUGAAAGAACUUUCUUCUUAGGAUAUCCUGAUAACUGUUUUAUUGAUUGCCACCACUUUUUUGGGUUAGGGUUUAGCUUUAACUGCAUGUUCUAACUUUUUCUCAAGAAAUGUGGAUCUGAGCUUCUUACUUUCUCUGUUUACCUGAUUUCGUAACUGCUGAUAAUGUGGACUUUUUCCAUGAUGGAAUGCCUUUUGUCUGGUUCCGAUAAUUUUCUUAAAUUCAGGAGUUACCCAAGGUUUGUCAUUGUCAUGUAAUUUUACAGUUUUUUAUCGGAAGGAAACAAUACAAUGCGGCAUGUAUGAUGUCUAGGAAGAGGUUUAAUUUUUGUUCACAAGAAAUAGUGCGGUAUAAAAUGUUCCAAUUAAAAUCGGUUAACCACUUUCCAAAAGCAGUUUUUGCAGCAUUAAAUCCCUGUCUGAUUUUUACUUUCGUGUGCGCGUUUUUAGUUGAACCUUCCUUAUAUGAGCAUAACACUGAGAUGUGGUUGCUGCGCCCAACGAGUGGGAUUACCAAGGGGAUGUUACAAAAGUCUGACAUGUUUGUCAAAAUUAAAUCCAAAAUAGCAUUCCCUCUCGUAGGUUGUUUAACAAUCUGAUUUAAAGUAAAAUGUCUGAGUAUUGUGGAAACUGGACAUUUGUUAAAAUCCCCAACUAAUAUUAUGCCAGCAUUUGGGUACAUGGAGAGGGCAACAUCAAGCUUUAUGGUAAGGUGUUCGAUUAGUAUUGUUGUCGCUGGAUGGUGGGUGGUAAACCACACAGACAACCAAACAUGAGAAUCCUCGGAACAGUUUGUAAGGUCUCAGGUAAAGCCACAGAGUUUCGAAACAAACAUCUUGCAAACAAGUUAGAAUUUUAAAGGGGAUCUGUGACUUUAUAUAAGCACACACCCCUCCUCCAGUCCUUGAUUUUCUAUCACGACGUAUCAAGGAGUAGCCAUGUAUUUGAACUGCGGCGUCGUCAAUGUUUUCGUUUAGCCAUGUUCUGUGAUAAAAGCCAAGCUGGCAUGAUUUAAUUUAAGAAUAGCAUCUAAUUCAUCAACUUUCGGCAGAAGUGAUCUGACAUUUGGAAGGAAAAAUUAUAGUGGGUUCUUUGGGCAUUUGGGCAACCUAGUCUUCAAUUUUUAUUUUCUUUUAUUAUUUAUUUAAUUUCUUUUAUUUUCAAUUUUUUCAAUUUGGUUCGAUAUAGGAAUUAUCAAAUUUUUCGUUUGUGUAUGCAGGGGUACUGUUUAAACGAUUAUGUAAUUUAAUUUGCCGUCUAGUUGUCCAAAGUGGGAUAUUAUUUGUUCUAGGUAUUUGAUCAGCUACGGCCGGGCCGGUCAGUAUAUGAAAUGCUUUGUCGGUCGUACUGCUCUAUGGAUGCAUGGGGCGCGUCAAACGAUUGACCAGAUUUUCUUGUCUGAUGGGUGGUAAUUGUGGUAAAAGGAAGGGAAACUCCAUCAAUGGUCGGGGGUAAGGAGGGUGAUUGGGGCGUCGUAUGAUUUGACAAGCAUUCGGUUGAAUUGGGAAUAAAAAAGGGCGAUAGUGUUGGUUUCGAUUUAAACUUGGAUGUAGAAAAUCACAAUUGCGCUGGUUUCGUUCAAGGUUUGGGUGAAGGAAGUCGCAAUUUUCGCCUUUGAGACACCAACCCCUUCGUGACAGGAAAGGACAAGGAACGGUAUUUUUGGUUGGUUGGUCGACAUGAUGUUGCCGCGCUUUAGAAUGUGUUUCUACAUUUAUGGUUGGAACGCGAUUUCUCGAGCGUUUAAAUUUUAUCCGACGGAUUGCGAGUUAAACGGUAAUAGCGAGUUAAAUGCCUUUGAUACAACCGGCCCCAGUAGUCAAAAUAGGGCUGUUUGUAAGAAUUCCUGAGGAACACAGGUCUUCAUUCGUUUAAUUACUGCAAUUCCUGCAUUAACUUUCUUAAUAAUCAUAUCAAUAUGGUGUUCCCAGUUUAAUUUUUCGUCGAAAGUGACAGCGAGGCAUUUAUAGAAAUUUACUCUUGGGACAGGAACAUUGUUAAUUAUAAUAUCGGUAUUCCUCGAGGUAUAUUCUUAAUUUUAAAAGAGGGUGCAAUAAACAUACAUUUAGAAUUUGUAGCUUAUAUGAUUCUCCAUCUAUUCGUCAUAAUAUUUAGGUCAUAAUUUAUGUUGUCAAUAAGAUCAUUUACAUUGUGUGAUGACGCGUAAAUUUCCGUGUCAUCAGCAUACAGACCAGGUGUGCUUUUUUGGAGACAUUGUGGCAGGUCAUUGGUGAAGAGCAAAAUAACAACGGCCCCAGGAUCAACCCCUGGGGGACCCUACAUUUUAAUUUUCCAACGGAGGAUAGUAUCCCACUAUAGCAAUACAAUAUAAGGUGUCUGAAAUUCAGACACCCGCGCGCGUAUGGCUCGCAAUAGAAUAUAAA
Paramuricea clavata is the source of this 2761-nucleotide non-coding RNA. The record is from the annotation of a GenBank genome assembly. NCBI's taxonomy places the organism in Eukaryota, Metazoa, Cnidaria, Anthozoa, Malacalcyonacea, Plexauridae.